RNAcentral lists this transfer RNA (47 nucleotides) under Candidatus Pelagibacterales bacterium. RNAcentral describes it as "partial tRNA-Met". It matches the Rfam family "tRNA", at positions 26 to 71 of the family's 71-position model. Rfam says of the family: Transfer RNA (tRNA) molecules are approximately 80 nucleotides in length. Their secondary structure includes four short double-helical elements and three loops (D, anti-codon, and T loops). Further hydrogen bonds mediate the characteristic L-shaped molecular structure. tRNAs have two regions of fundamental functional importance: the anti-codon, which is responsible for specific mRNA codon recognition, and the 3' end, to which the tRNAs corresponding amino acid is attached (by aminoacyl-tRNA synthetases). tRNAs cope with the degeneracy of the genetic code in two manners: having more than one tRNA (with a specific anti-codon) for a particular amino acid; and 'wobble' base-pairing, i.e. permitting non-standard base-pairing at the 3rd anti-codon position. Lineage: Bacteria; Pseudomonadati; Pseudomonadota; Alphaproteobacteria; Candidatus Pelagibacterales. The record is from RNAcentral.
CAGGACUCAUAAGCCUGGGGUCGGCGGUUCGAAUCCGCCUCUCGCUA